RNAcentral lists this long non-coding RNA (421 nucleotides) under Medicago truncatula (barrel medic). RNAcentral's name for it is "long non-coding RNA (MTRU_LNC008748)". The record is from RNAcentral. Lineage: Eukaryota; Viridiplantae; Streptophyta; Magnoliopsida; Fabales; Fabaceae.
UGCACCAAAGGUUUACCAUAAGCCUUUAUCUUUUUAUUUUAGUUUUGGAUGUACUUAAAAAACAAUCCAAGAAUUAACAUUGAGAUGUAUGUUUUUUGCAGAUGAUGUAGUCAUGCUUCGAGAGUCGAGGGAGGAAUUGAAUGGGAGGUUGAGACUUGGAGACAAGCCUUAUAAGUGUAUGGCUUCCGCUUGAGUAGAAGCAAGACAGAGUAUAUGAAAUGUAAUUUCAGCAAAAAGUUAAAGAUCAUAUCAUACCGCAAGUGAAACGGUCUAAAAGUAUUUGGUUCAUAGUACAAAAUGAUGGAGAAAUAAAAACAUGAGUAAAUCGUUGCAUUCAAAUGUGGUUGAAAUGAGGAAGAGUCUCAAGUGUUUUAUGUGAUAUGAAAAUACCGCUCAAGUUGAAGGAAAAAUUAUACUGAGA